GAAAAAGAUAAAGAUCUUAUCGUGGAGAAUAUGUUUUCGAUUCUUUCUCAGAUCUUGUUGAAGUUUAUGAAGCUGAAGAUGUGGCUAUGGAGAUCAAAUAUAGUCUCUUCAUGGAUAAGUUCAAGCAAAUUAACCUUAGGUCGAUGGACUCAAAGAAAAGGUGGAAGAAGUUUUAAAAAAACUUUAUUAGCAUCUUGAGCCAAGAGCUACAGUAAGGGAUGCUAUAUUAUUUGAGAGGGGGAGCCACUUGAUAUGAUGACCUUCAUCACAAGGGGCAGUGGACUCACCUAUGCAACUGAUAAUGGUAGAUCAAAUGGUUCUUCAGGUACUAUCCAACUUGAGAAAGAGAAAGGUGGUUUGUAUGGUAAAGAGCUUCUAACUUGGGCAGAAGGGUCUUCUAGCGAAUUGUCUAACUUACCGAUCUCUCCCAUAACGAUCAAGUCUCACAACAAAGUUGAAGUCUUUGCUUUCCAGGCCACCGAUUUACAGCUUGUUGUCUCUAAAUUCCUGAGUCAAUUCAACAUGAAUAUUACUCUCACCAUAGCUGUCGAUAAGGAAAUUAUCCUGUAAAUGCCUUUUUAUGUUUUUAUAUUUAGGAUCUAAGCCAAGUUUUGCUACAUGGCAGGAUGUUUCAAGACCUCAAUGCUAUUUAAGUCGUCCAAAUAAAACUUGAAGGUGUGAAACUCUUUUAACUUUGGCAGUAGAUACAUUAAUGCUCUUACUCACAGAAUAACACUAUAUAUGAAUAGAAAAAAGAAGACAGCUCUCGUCAUCGACUAAAACCCUAAAAGAAGCGUCGACUUCUCCAAUCUCCCUCUCGUCCCGCGGGUGAUGCAAUGGCUCCAAAGCAGCUUCUCUUAGGACGGCGGUACUCGAGAUCUUGGUGGAAGGUUCGGCGGUUUCCAGUGCAACAGAGGUGCUGUAUGGAGAUCGAUUUUGAUCGAUCUUUGGGGUACUGUCUUUGACGGCUUGGAAGAGGUUGGAUCUCGGCCCUUUUGCUUCCAAGACAUGGUGCUGGCUUUUAAUUGAUGUUUCAGUCGGGUAUUCGGGUGACCCCAAGGCGGUGUGCUUAAGGUUUGCUUGGCUUUUCUGUUUUAUUGGGGCUCAUUGGUGGUUGGAAUUGCUCCAUUGAAGGCACCGGAGAUCUGUAGUGGCGCUGGAUCGGCGGUGAUGCUAGGUCAAGGUGGGAUUGCUGUGUGGCAUGGUUAGGUCGAGGCUUGGCUUGGGCCUAUCUGAUGGAUUUGGAGUGGGCCUUUUCUCUUGGGGCUGCUUUUGGACCUUAGAAGUGGGCUAGGGUUUUUGCCCUAGGCUCAUCCCUAUGUUUUUAGUUUUGUCUGAUUACAAUAAAUUCCUUGUAUUUAGGAAGCUAAGCAUCGAUGUGCACUCUAUGUAUCUCUAACGCCUCUAGAGUAUUACCAAAGGAGGGUUUCCGCUACCUCUACGUAUUUGAAUGUAUAAUGAGUAUGUCUAUUUCUAUGUAUCGCUUGUGGGUACUACCA
This is a long non-coding RNA of Rosa rugosa (rugosa rose), 1499 nucleotides long. RefSeq lists it as uncharacterized. The transcript has 2 exons. NCBI's taxonomy places the organism in Eukaryota, Viridiplantae, Streptophyta, Magnoliopsida, Rosales, Rosaceae. The record is from RefSeq and is a predicted model, not a curated record.